Molecule: ribosomal RNA, 428 nt
Filed under: Verrucomicrobiota bacterium
Lineage: Bacteria; Pseudomonadati; Verrucomicrobiota
Description: Verrucomicrobia bacterium partial 16S ribosomal RNA
Rfam family: Bacterial small subunit ribosomal RNA
Source: RNAcentral
UGGGGAAUCUUCCGCAAUGGACGAAAGUCUGACGGAGCAACGCCGCGUGAGUGAAGACGGCCUUCGAGUUGUAAAGCUCUGUGAUUCGGGACGAAAGGCCAUAUGUGAAUAAUAUAUGGAAAUGACGGUACCGAAAAAGCAAGCCACGGCUAACUACGUGCCAGCAGCCGCGGUAAUACGUAGGUGGCAAGCGUUGUCCGGAAUUAUUGGGCGUAAAGCGCGCGCAGGCGGUCACUUAAGUCCAUCUUAGAAGUGCGGGGCUUAACCCCGUGAUGGGAUGGAAACUGGGAGACUGGAGUAUCGGAGAGGAAAGUGGAAUUCCUAGUGUAGCGGUGAAAUGCGUAGAUAUUAGGAAGAACACCGGUGGCGAAGGCGACUUUCUGGACGAAAACUGACGCUGAGGCGCGAAAGCGUGGGGAGCAAACAGG